RNAcentral lists this ribosomal RNA (254 nucleotides) under uncultured bacterium. RNAcentral describes it as "partial 16S ribosomal RNA". It matches the Rfam family "Bacterial small subunit ribosomal RNA", at positions 524 to 776 of the family's 1533-position model. The record is from RNAcentral.
UACGGGGGGAGCAAGCGUUGUUCGGAUUUACUGGGCGUAAAGGGCGCGUAGGCGGUCAGCACAAGUCAGUUGUGAAAUCUCCGGGCUUAACCCGGAAAGGUCAACUGAUACUGUGCGACUAGAGUGCGGAAGGGGCAACUGGAAUUCCGUGUGUAGCGGUGAAAUGCGUAGAUAUACGGAGGAACACCUGCGGCGAAGGCGGGUUGCUGGGCUGACACUGACGCUGAGGCGCGAAAGCUAGGGGAGCGAACGGG